AUGAAAGGAGAUAAUUAGACCUGGUAAUUGGCUUGCUUUUUACUUUUUUAUAGGCAACAGUGACUAUGGCUGGGAGAAGAAGACACAGCAGAAAGCUGUCCUCCAGGAUCAAGGCUAAGCUGUCUCAAUUUUAGGGGAAAAGGCUGGUCCCCGACCAGUCCAGGACUUCCUGUCACCGCUUGCCUGACACAUCCGUCUGGCUGUGAAGUGCUUCUCUGCAUCCUAUGCUAUGGUACCCGGGUCCAUAUGAACCCCAGGACCAGACAUCUUAGAACUUUGAAUCCAAAGCUUCGGCUGCUUUCCACUGAACUGAGUGUGCCUACGGUGAGACUCCAACCCUAAGGGGUUUGAUGCCUGGUCCGAGAAUCUCAUAAAGCCUGAGUAUCCCCAGGUCAGCAUGACUACAGAUACCAACCGAAAGACUGCUGGUAAUACCACUGCUUGAGGAACGACUAACCCGUGGAAGGGUCAUGGGGGUGGUACUGCAAUGAAAAGUGCAAGUGACACUUUGAUCUCAGGCAUGGUCCCAGUCUGAACAUGCCUCGUGCUCUCCCUACCCUCGCACCCAGUGCCCAGGCUUAAAGAGGGCACUGUUUGUGAGGUUUGUGACUUUUAGUCUCUAAAGAUACAUGUCUUUUUUUUUUUUUACAAAAAUUUUUUUAUUAUUGAUUUAUAACUGACCCACAGUGUUAUAUCAGUUUCAGGCAUAUAACAUAGUGAUGCAAUAUUUUUAUACAUUAUGAAAGGAUCACCAAGAUAAGUCUAGUUAUUACAGUCUUAUUGAAUACACAUUUCUCAUCCUAACUCCAGUUUUUUCUUAUUUGCUGAAUGACUUUCCAUCUAUUUUAUUUUAUUUUGAAGUAUAAUUGAUUUAUAAUGGUGUAUUAGUUUCAGGUGUACAGCUAAGUGAUUCUGUUUUUUAUACAUAGUAUAAAUAUAUAUAAUAUUCUUUUUCAGAUGCUUUUCCAUUAUAGGCUAUUACAAGAUAUUGCACAUAGUUCCCUGUGCUUUACAGUAGUUCCUUGUUGUUAUCCUAACAGGAGUUUUGAAACUAGCUCACAAUGGGAGAAGUAAUUCAUAAGCCAUUUAUUGCUGAUACCUGUGGCUCAGCAGGUAAAGAAUCCGCCUGCAAUGUGGGAGACCUGGGUU
This 1149-nucleotide long non-coding RNA is filed under the name Capra hircus (goat). RNAcentral describes it as "lncRNA (ENSCHIG00010029826.1)". The record is from RNAcentral. Lineage: Eukaryota; Metazoa; Chordata; Mammalia; Artiodactyla; Bovidae.